UGGGGAAUUUUGGACAAUGGGCGAAAGCCUGAUCCAGCAAUGCCGCGUGUGUGAAGAAGGCCUUCGGGUUGUAAAGCACUUUUGUCCGGAAAGAAAUCCUCUGGGUUAAUACCUCGGGGGGAUGACGGUACCGGAAGAAUAAGCACCGGCUAACUACGUGCCAGCAGCCGCGGUAAUACGUAGGGUGCAAGCGUUAAUCGGAAUUACUGGGCGUAAAGCGUGCGCAGGCGGUUUGCUAAGACCGAUGUGAAAUCCCCGGGCUCAACCUGGGAACUGCAUUGGUGACUGGCAGGCUAGAGUAUGGCAGAGGGGGGUAGAAUUCCACGUGUAGCAGUGAAAGUGCGUAGAGAUGUGGAGGAAUACCGAUGGCGAAGGCAGCCCCCUGGGCCAAAUACUGACGCUCAUGCACGAAAGCGUGGGGAGCAAACAGGAUUAGAUACCCUGGUAGUCCACGCCCUAAACGAUGUCAACUAGUUGUUGGGGAUUCAUUUCCUUAGUAACGUAGCUAACGCGUGAAGUUGACCGCCUGGGGAGUACGGUCGCAAGAUUAAACUUAAAUGAAUUGACGGGGUCAUA
RNAcentral lists this ribosomal RNA (576 nucleotides) under uncultured bacterium. RNAcentral's name for it is "partial 16S ribosomal RNA". It matches the Rfam family "Bacterial small subunit ribosomal RNA", at positions 355 to 923 of the family's 1533-position model. The record is from RNAcentral.